GACGAAGGGGGCUAGCGUUGUUCGGAAUUACUGGGCGUAAAGCGCGUGUAGGCGGUUGCCCAAGUCGGGUGUGAAAGCCUUGAGCUCAACUCAAGAAAUGCACUUGGUACUGGGUGACUAGAGGACCGGAGAGGAUAGUGGAAUUCCCAGUGUAGUGGUGAAAUACGUAGAGAUUGGGAAGAACACCAGUGGCGAAGGCGGCUAUCUGGACGGUUUCUGACGCUAAGACGCGAAAGCGUGGGGAGCAAACAGG
RNAcentral lists this ribosomal RNA (253 nucleotides) under uncultured bacterium. Its description in RNAcentral is "partial 16S ribosomal RNA". It matches the Rfam family "Bacterial small subunit ribosomal RNA", at positions 524 to 776 of the family's 1533-position model. The record is from RNAcentral.